This 73-nucleotide transfer RNA is filed under the name Stegodyphus mimosarum. It matches the Rfam family "tRNA". From Rfam's summary of the family: Transfer RNA (tRNA) molecules are approximately 80 nucleotides in length. Their secondary structure includes four short double-helical elements and three loops (D, anti-codon, and T loops). Further hydrogen bonds mediate the characteristic L-shaped molecular structure. tRNAs have two regions of fundamental functional importance: the anti-codon, which is responsible for specific mRNA codon recognition, and the 3' end, to which the tRNAs corresponding amino acid is attached (by aminoacyl-tRNA synthetases). tRNAs cope with the degeneracy of the genetic code in two manners: having more than one tRNA (with a specific anti-codon) for a particular amino acid; and 'wobble' base-pairing, i.e. permitting non-standard base-pairing at the 3rd anti-codon position. Lineage: Eukaryota; Metazoa; Arthropoda; Arachnida; Araneae; Eresidae. The record is from Rfam by way of RNAcentral.
UCCUUCGUGGUAUAAUGGUCAGCACGCUGAGUCGGUAUUUCAGAGGUCCUUGGUUCGAUCCCCGGCGAAGGCA